Etheostoma spectabile (orangethroat darter) is the source of this 132-nucleotide long non-coding RNA. RefSeq lists it as uncharacterized. NCBI's taxonomy places the organism in Eukaryota, Metazoa, Chordata, Actinopteri, Perciformes, Percidae. The record is from RefSeq and is a predicted model, not a curated record. The transcript is spliced from 3 exons.
GUUACUUGGAAUGAGUUUUGCAUGAGCUGCGAACUGUUUAGCUCAGGUGAGUGUUGGUAAUGCAGACUGUGGUUUGAGUUUUGCACAUGUGGCUUCGGUUGUGACCAGUAUUGCAGAGAUUACUGCACACUC